Molecule: unclassified non-coding RNA, 336 nt
Filed under: soil metagenome
Description: partial contains 5.8S ribosomal RNA, internal transcribed spacer 2, and large subunit ribosomal RNA
Rfam family: 5.8S ribosomal RNA (bases 1-120)
Source: RNAcentral
GAUGAAGAACGUAGCGAAAUGCGAUAAGUAAUGUGAAUUGCAGAAUUCCGUGAAUCAUCGAAUCUUUGAACGCACAUUGCGCCCCCUGGUAUUCCGGGGGGCAUGCCUGUCCGAGCGUCAUUGCAACCUUCAAGCGCGACUUGUGUGUUGGGUCUCGUCCCCCGUGGACGGGCCCGAAAGGCAGUGGCGGCGUCCCGACAUGGUGCCCGAGCGUAUGGGAAUCCUCUUCCGCUCGAAUCGGCCCAUGCGGCGCUGGUCGUAACCAAAUUUUUUACCGGUUGACCUCGGAUCAGGUAGGGAUACCCGCUGAACUUAAGCAUAUCAAUAAGCGGAGGA